Long non-coding RNA from Oreochromis niloticus (Nile tilapia), 2312 nucleotides. RefSeq annotates it as polymeric immunoglobulin receptor. NCBI's taxonomy places the organism in Eukaryota, Metazoa, Chordata, Actinopteri, Cichliformes, Cichlidae. The record is from RefSeq and is a predicted model, not a curated record. The transcript has 8 exons.
UUUGACCCAAACUGUUUGUCUAAAUGAUCCCAAACUUCAGCUCAUUAUCUUCAGACACAGAGAAAUGAUUUCAUGAUGAAUGAUGAUCAUUGUUGGAGGUUUUGGUCACUGUGUUGAAUUUAACAGAGUCAAGUGUCAUCACCGUGUUUCCUGCAGCACUUUGCACAUAAUACUAUAAAUAUAAGGAGGAAGCCUGAGGCCCUGCAGCAGACUCACAGACGGAUGCAGAGGGGAGGAGUGUCGAGGUGUGUGCUGUGUGUUUGGAGGAGGGACUCCUUCAGUUAGAGAAGUGAGGCGUCACAAGUUCCUGGUUUCCAGUGAAGAAGAAGAGAGGCAGCAGUAAACCAUCAGAGCCUCAUCAUGAAAGUCCAUCACACUCUGAUCUGCUUCUUCUUCCUUUUUCACUCCCACAGUGCAUAUAGAUUUGACAAAAUGACAUCACUUCCUGCAGACAAAUAUAAACCUCUCUGCAGGAUGGAAACCCUGAAGUCACCAAUGCUCAGAUUCUUCACUAUGGAGUCAUUGGAGGAGAUUUUAAAGCUGGAUUCACCUUUAAUUCUCCAGGAACAUGGAAGAUGUUCUGCAGAGAACAAUGUGAAGGAGAAAACAUUCUUAUUAAAACAACUGAUGUCAGAGCUCAAACAGGCAGAUACAGCAUUGAAUAUGAAAACAAUGUUUUAUCUGUGAGCAUCUCAAAGCUGACUGAGUCUGACUCUGGACAGUACAGCUGUGGUUUGGGUGGAUCUCCAUCAUCAGCUCCAUUCACACCGUUUGUGAUCGUUGUUGCUGAAGCACUGCUGGAUGGAAACGAUGAUCCUGCUCAGCUGAAACACUUCGAUAAAGAAACUGGAAGCUCUCUCACAGUCGCAUGUUCCUUUAAACAAGCUGGAUACAGAAAGUUGUUCUGCAGAGGAGAAUGUGGAGGAGAGAAGAUUCUUGUUCAUACAGAUGAUGUUAGUGCUCAGAGAGACAGAUACAACAUUGGAUAUGAGUCAGGAGUUCUGUGUGUGAGCAUCACACAGCUGACCAAGUCUGACUCAGGACGGUACAGAUGUUUACUGAUUGGAUCUUCCAGCAGCUCAUCCAGAGAGUUUGAGGUCACUGUCACAGAUGCAGCUGGACCAUCAGCCACAACUACAGGAAGCUCCACACCUUCAUUAACUUGGACUGGAAGCACUGAGCAGCCUGAAGGAGCAGCAUCAGGUACAUCCAUCUCUGUGCUGCUGUAUGUGAUCAUCUCUCUGCUCAUCAUCAUCAUCCUCUCAUCACUGGCUGUUCUAAUAAUCUGCAUUAAGAGGAAGAGCAACAGAGGUUUGAGGACCAGAGGAAACUCAGAGGGCACAAACAUGGAGGACGUCCACUACGAGAACUGUACUCCAGGUUCUACACGUGAAGACUCGACCUACCAGAGCCUCCAUCCAGCCGCCAGGGACCAGGACCAGACCUACUCCACACUCACACACCACACAUGAGACUCUCUGGAUUCACACCAGGGUUUAUUUCAGUGCAUCAGGUUUAAAGUUUGAACACAGACCCUGAAAACUGUAAAUAUUAACUCGCUUUUGGAGUCAGCUUCAAGUGGCCGUUAGAGGAACUGCAGCUGUUGGAACGUCUGCAGGAGGAACCAGCCCCACCAGCCUCCAUCAUCCUACAUGAGUGGAGACUGAAGUCUUUCUGCUGCAGUGUGUCAUCCAUUUGGCUGAGAAGGUGUUUGCAGUCUCCCUUCUCUCCAACACCUGGACACCUCCAGGACCCUGAGAGUGACCCCUCCCACCCUGGACAGACACUUUCUGAGUCGCUCCCCUCUGUAUCAUGAAACGGCCAAUAUAUGUGAUUAAAAACAACAAAAAACAUUAACUCUCCUGGUCAGUCUGUUUUUUCUACAUUUAGAAAAAUGAUUAAAUGUUAUGAAUUUCAUAUUUUACUAAUCCUUAAAGAGAGACAAUCGUAGCUUUGGAUUCUUUUAUUUUAUUUUAGUGUUUUAAGUUCAUCAAUUGCAGUAAAUGUUAAUUUUGAAUCAAUGAUGAAUCUACAUCAGACAUAACUGAAGUUAAUCAGCUGGUUAGCUGCACAGAGCUAACAGCAAACCAUAUAAAACCUUAGCAUACGUAGCACGCAGCAGCUACAAGGAUGGUGUGUGAUAUGGUUACAAGAAUAUUUAGAUUUACACAAAAUGAAAUCAGCAGCUUCACUAUUUCAGAUGUCAGUAUUACAGAAACAUGUUCAGUGAAUCUCGUUCCAUCCAGCUCACACAUGUGUUGUCGAUGUAUUUGUGCUGUGUGAGUAGUGGGAGUCGCUACGUAGCGCACGUC